UUGGAAUUACUACAUGAGCGGAAGCGUACCUGAAUCCAUAUGUGGAAAUCCGUAGUCCUCCUUGGAAGAUUGUUUGAAAGCUCCUUAGUCCUUCCUUCAAGAUUAUCUUGAAGUUUUCCCAAGAGUUUCACAAGAAUAUCUCCAAGACCAAAAAAUGGAAAUGGUUUUCCACUUGAUAGCAAACCAAAAUUACUCUCUAGUUUAAAUGGGAGGAAGAAGAGAAUUGGAUGCUUCAAAUGGGAACCAUAACCCUUCUUUUAUAAGCAUGUAACCAUAGUUAGCCCAUUAUUAACUAUGGUUACUCUUUAAGUAACUAUGGUUACUUUUAUGGGUAUCUACACAUAAAUUAGUCUUACACUCUAUAUGACAAUAUAUUGGCCUCCUUAAUAAUGUCCAUAAGACCACUAAAUUAGGCCAAACCAAAAGAUAGUACAUAACAUAUAAUUAAUCUAUAUAUUGUUCAUAUGUAUGUAGAUAUAAGUCCAUAUAUCUUACAUGUUUGUAUCGAAACACAUGGUUAUUAAUUGGUGCUCAUCUCUGUUUGAUGCUUAAAUUUUGCUUAUAAUAGUAAUGCAUUUUCUGGAAAUCCAUGUUGAUUAAUACCUGUCAGACAAAUAGGAACUGGAAUAGGCAUGGAUAUAUGUGUUUGGAUUGGUUUUAAAUUUGUACUACUAGUGAGGACCAGCGAUUUUAUUCUUGCGUGUUGGUGAGUUUAAGACUAGGGUCUUCUUUGAAAAAUAUGAAAUCCAGUAUGGUUGUAC
This 761-nucleotide long non-coding RNA is filed under the name Nicotiana benthamiana. RNAcentral describes it as "long non-coding RNA (NBEN_LNC009202)". The record is from RNAcentral. Lineage: Eukaryota; Viridiplantae; Streptophyta; Magnoliopsida; Solanales; Solanaceae.